GUGCUUGCUUCAGCAGGACAUAUACUAAAACUGGAACAAUACAGAGAAGACUAGCAUGGCCUCUCUGUGCAAGAAUGACAUGCAAAUUCAUGAAGCAUUCCAUAUUUUU
Small nuclear RNA from Physeter macrocephalus (sperm whale), 109 nucleotides. NCBI's taxonomy places the organism in Eukaryota, Metazoa, Chordata, Mammalia, Artiodactyla, Physeteridae. The record is from Ensembl.